Molecule: ribosomal RNA, 890 nt
Filed under: uncultured bacterium
Lineage: Bacteria
Description: bacterial SSU rRNA
Rfam family: Bacterial small subunit ribosomal RNA
Source: RNAcentral
AGAGUUUGAUCAUGGCUCAGGAUGAACGCCGGCGGUGUGCCUAAUACAUGCAAGUCGUACGCACUGGCCCAACUGAUUGAUGGUGCUUGCACCUGGUUGACGAUGGAUCACCAGUGAGUGGCGGACGGGUGAGUAACACGUAGGUAACCUGCCCCGGAGCGGGGGAUAACAUUUGGAAACAGAUGCUAAUACCGCAUAACAACAAAAGCCACAUGGCUUUUGUUUGAAAGAUGGCUUUGGCUAUCACUCUGGGAUGGACCUGCGGUGCAUUAGCUAGUUGGUAAGGUAACGGCUUACCAAGGCGAUGAUGCAUAGCCGAGUUGAGAGACUGAUCGGCCACAAUGGAACUGAGACACGGUCCAUACUCCUACGGGAGGCAGCAGUAGGGAAUCUUCCACAAUGGGCGCAAGCCUGAUGGAGCAACACCGCGUGAGUGAAGAAGGGUUUCGGCUCGUAAAGCUCUGUUGUUGGAGAAGAACGUGCGUGAGAGUAACUGUUCACGCAGUGACGGUAUCCAACCAGAAAGUCACGGCUAACUACGUGCCAGCAGCCGCGGUAAUACGUAGGUGGCAAGCGUUAUCCGGAUUUAUUGGGCGUAAAGCGAGCGCAGGCGGUUGCUUAGGUCUGAUGUGAAAGCCUUCGGCUUAACCGAAGAAGUGCGUCGGAAACCGGGCAACUUGAGUGCAGAAGAGGACAGUGGAACUCCAUGUGUAGCGGUGGAAUGCGUAGAUAUAUGGAAGAACACCAGUGGCGAAGGCGGCUGUCUGGUCUGCAACUGACGCUGAGGCUCGAAAGCAUGGGUAGCGAACAGGAUUAGAUACCCUGGUAGUCCAUGCCGUAAACGAUGAGUGCUAGGUGUUGGAGGGUUUCCGCCCUUCAGUGCCGGAGCU